GUUUAAUAAAAAUCAAAUAAAAGCAAUUAUAUGAAUUUUCAAGAGGAUCACCUCUUCCUUCCCUGAGGUAUGAAGCAGAAUGAAUUCAGGAAAUCAUUUGAAUCAGAAGCUUGAGCUGCACAACACAGCCAGUGUUUGCUGUACAAAGACAAACAGACAUCUCUUCCCAGGCUAGCAGUCUGCUUGCUGGGGCUGUCCGAGUGGAAAUUCCACCUAUGGGCAAAGGAGGGUAAUUAAAGAAGCACAAGAAUUUCCUUGUAGUAGUUCUGGCUCUUCUGCUCCAGAGAAGCCUUCAUCUUUUCAAGUAUUCAUGCUCUUCUUUAUUUAUGCAAGAAGAAAUUGGACACAGUGAAACACUCAGAGCUGCCACAGAUCUCUGUAAGCAAAUAUAUGUGAAUUGAUACCCAUUAACAUUAACAACUUGCUCCUCUGCUCUCAGAGGGCCAGGUUUACCGAUUUCCUCUACCUUACGCAGUCAUUCAGGUUAAUAGAGAGUAUUUGCAAAGCACCAUCAAGUAGGACCAAUCCUGAAAUAUUCGCCUUUACACUUUCCAGUUGGAAAAUGCACUUUGAGUGAAAUGCAAACUUUAUUGUAAGAAUGUGUUGCUUUCAAUGCCAUUUUAAAAGGCAGAGAGCAGAAAUGCAUUAUAUCAAUAUUCUCAUUUACUCUGAUAAGAGGAAAACUUUUCGUGCUGACUUUCCUUUCAGUUGCUUUUGUUUUUAAUAUAAUGGUAAAGUAAGUAUUGCAAUACUGGUGCUACUGUUUAAAAUUUGAUAAGCAUGGUUAUACAAAUUUUUUACAAGAAAUCUACAGUGUGCCCACUUUCUCUCUCAGAUUCAGAAUGAAAACAAGUUCUGAAGUAAAAAUCUUACUGUUAGAUUAAAAUAUAUAGCAAGGUUAGACACUGCUUGGAAGUCAGAUGCAGAGGAACUUCAUUGCCUUCAAAAGAGAAACUUCUGCUUCCUGCCAUGUUCCAGGAGAGCAGAGGUAUGUUCUUCAUAUUAUAAAGCACUGGUAGAUGGUAGCUAAAUAUUUUAAAGGAGCUGAUUUUACUCUGCUUAACUGAUAUUUAUACAAUGCUUUGACCUCUGCAAAAGGAGGACAGCUAAAGUUGGAUGGAAGAAGUGGAAGCCAGACACUGUGACCAGGUGCCAUAUUUUCACUGUGAAUGUAUCACAGCCUUGUACUCUUGGUCAAAUCAUUUAGGGUUUGAAUCGGUCUUACAGGCUUUGGUCCUUACAUAUCUCAUGUAAUCACUUCUUCUGUGAGCCAGAUUCUUGCUCUGAAAUCUAACUCUCCGUGGCUGAUCUUUAGCAGCCCAUCAAUUAGUAGAGCAGACACUGACUUAAAAUGUAACAACAAUUUUGACUCUAGUCAAAACAAUGUAAAUGGAAAAACAUAGCAAUGCCAGAAUAACACCCAAUGAGGUAGAAAAAUAGGGAGAAAAAAACCUCUGAUCCUAAUCUUGCAACAAAUUGUAUGCAAAUACUGCCUCAGGAGAGCUUUUGGGCUGUGAGAUUUUUCCUGUUAAAUAUUUUGUAGAAUUUGGGCCUUAAUUUUAUGUCACAGAAGCAGAGAAAAACAGUGGAGAGGGGUUUAUAUCUGUACCUACUGAUGCCAUAUAAGAUUCAUGGUUCAGUUCCCCUGAAAAGAAAAGCAACAGGUUUCUUGUUAUCUAUCUUUUAUAAUACUUGGAAUAUAAGUGCUGUUGUGCCAGACUGCCAGUUAUUUGGCACACAUUACCGCCAGAGAAAUGCCUCAGAACUGAGAAAUGCAGGUUCUUCAAAUUAAAAGAGGAAAAAUAAUCUCACUGCAGGUGUCUUAAAUAUUUCAGGAGGUACAUGAAUUCCACUCUGGCAAGCUGUGUCUUUCACGUACCUAUAAAAAAGCAAAAUGAUUGGUCAUACAUUUAAGAGUCAUUGCCAACUACCAUUUUCUCCAGAUCAAUUCAAAACAAGAUAGGAUGGAUGUUUGAUACCAGGUUAAGGGAGUAUUUUUUGUUUGUUUGUUUGUUUUUGCUCAUUUGCUUUUUUUCAACUUUAUCUUCGGAGAGGCGGGUUCUGGUUUUCACUUCCCCACUCUGCAGAGCCUCCAGUCAUUGAGAAGUGACUCUAGUCAUUGAAGGGGGCAAGUCUGAGUAGAGGACAGGCGCAUUAUCAGACAUUGCCCAUAGUUUUCUUUUACCUGUGAAUAUGACAAAACAAACAGCAGCAUGAGAAUGUGUACAUUCUCCCCACCGAGAUUUAUUUUAGAAAAGAUGCCUUUUGAUUUCAGGACUUUGAUAGGUUACCCAGUACUUCCCUGAUCUAACCUUCAAGUCCUAUCAAGACAGUAUAGUGUUUGAGGUGUCAUUGCUAACCUCUGCAUUCCCCACAAGACUGUAAAGUCUGAACAAAAAUAAUUCUGAAAGUCUUCAUUGAGUUUUAUUCAGUAUUUAAACUAUUCCCCGUAACAGUAGCCCGAUAAUGUACAUCAUACAUCCUUUCUCCUGGGUUUGGGAUUCUUCCAGGUUUUUAAAGUUGAAGUCUAGGUAGUAUUUAGAGCUCUUAAAAGUAAUUCUACAUUUUGGGACUCUUUUUGCUCUAGCUACCAGAUAGGAUCUAACUGCUACAUGCCAGCUGCCAAACGAAAAGAAAUCCAGAAAGGGAAUAUGGAAAAGUGGGGUUGGUAUAAAGAAUUUCAUCAAAUGUCAGGAAGCCAUUAAUUCAGGACAAACUUGCUAUAUGUUCCUCUGCUUUGUUUAAAACAAAGCACUGACAAAAAAUGUAGACUUACGUACAAUAACAGGAAAUCAAACAGAUACUAUUCCAGCAUGUGUAGUGGAAAAUGCGUAUGUAUAGAAAUUAAAUAAAAGAAAAUCCUUCAGCUAAAAAAAGACACUUAAAAGAUGACUUUUCAGCUUUUAAAGUUUAGAAGGCAAGAUAGAGUGGAACAAGUGUGAUUCUGCUUGAGAUAAUAGGAUAAUUCUUCCUCUUUAAAGGAACAAGCCUAGCAAGCAAACAAACACUCACAACUGUCUGUAAUCAUAUAUCAUGAUGCAGCAAAUAGGCAAUAGCUGCCUGGCUGUGGCUCACAUGAGGGAUGAAGCCAAUGGGCUUUGUCUGCUCUGUAGAGGGAAAACUUUACAGUGAGUUUGUGGAGGUUAGCAAGGACAGUACACUCAGGUGGUUUAGCCUACAUUUAAAUGAGAAUGACUCAGCACAGUGAUUUAAAAUACACCUGUACUGUGGCUGGCUUGUUGGAACAGGGCACCUGCCAGUUCAGCUCACGAGUCAGGAACAGGUUCAGGUACAGGUUCUGGUCAUGUAUUUGCCAUGGAUUUUUGAGCAAAUCCCAUUGCCUAGAUUUCCAAGAAUAUCUUCCAUUCCUAGAUGUUCUGGUAGCAAAUAUUCAGCAAAGGACACCUUCGUGUGUCCCAACAGUCAGCACCAAGUUGCCAUUUGUGUCAGAAUUGCUCAUGCUAGGAUCUCAGACCAAUCAGUUCAUUACACAAACACCUCUUGUGAUACAUAUCAAUAAGCAUAUAUUUGUAUUUAUUUAGAUCAACUUAUAUUUAACAAUAUUUUUUCAUAUUGUUCAUGCAGACCAAAAGAAUCACACAGAAGUAGGAAAUAGGCCCACUGCUAACUGCAGGUGUUUUCAUGCUCAUGCUAUCAACUUGAGACACCAUGGACAUGACUUUCAGAAAGGACAACCUUCCAACUCUUCUUGCGAAGGAAUCUGAAUGUCAGCUGUACCACCAAACUGCUUUUGCAAAUCUGAUGAACCAAAACACUUCUCAUAAAUUAGGCAUUUUUUUCCUGCCUGAGUAAGCAUAUUUGUGUGGCAUGUGAAGAAGCACCAAGUCUGAGGGACCUUGCUGGAUUGAAGGCUUACUCAGUCUGUGUAGUCAUGAUGCUGGAAGCAAGUAUUUAUGAUACGAGCUGCCACUAGACAUAAACAUCUGAAAGACCUUUGGUCCUGCAUUAACAAAAAUUAAAGCACUAACUUAGCCUCACAAUGCUGCUGUACAACAAAAACAAGCCAAAAUAAAUUCCCUACAGACAGAUGGACAAUUCCCUACAGACAGAUAACCCAACUCAGCUGCUUUCCAGUCCUGAACACAAACCCUGUAUUUAAAGAAUUUUAGACACCCUCUACCCAUUACCUGAGGAACAGAUGAAUUUAUUGUAAAACUAAAGGAAAUUAAUUCAACAGAUCACUGUUUUAGCAACGUUUAUUUAUUUAUUAUCAGAAGGAGUACAGUUAGUUGUGUGAAAUCCUCCUGUACUCCUUCAAGAUUCUCAGUGCAUUAACAAACAUGUUUCCGCAAAUCCAAAAGUUUAAGAUGAUGCUUUGCUUUCUUUAAUCUCUAUCAGGCAUGGAUACAGACAUUCUUAACACCAUAGGAAAUAAAAAAAAAAUCCUGAAAAUAUGUCCAUUCUUAGAAAUGAAGUAGAAAAUAGUCACUAUACAAGGUAGCUUCUCUUGUUUAAUUGGACGCCAGCAAUUAAAAUCUGCUUUUAACAUAACUUUUGUAUCACUAGAUUUGUUCAGUUUUUAUCAUAUAGUUUUAUGUUUUGUUUUAAUUUAGCUUUGAUUUUUUUUAAAGUGUCUUCAAAGAAAUGACUAAAAGAAAACAACACCUGAACGAUAUGGAAUGUGCUGGGGCAUAAUGAAAGUAGUUGCCAUGUAUGUGGAGUUUUUUGAUCCACGUAUAUAGACUUAGGUUUACAUAAAUAACUGUGUGGCUGUGUGUCCCCCAAAUCCUCUUAAAGCUGUGUUGUAAAUCCCAAGGAAGCUCCCCUUUGUGUCUUGUCUUUAGGUAUUUGGCCUCGGUAGCUUAAAGCUCUUGUACUGGCUCUUGGUUGCAACGGUCCUGAGGAAGCUGUGUAUGAGUAAGCAAUCCUGCAGAGGUGCUGUGUGGGCCAACAAGAACACCUGCAAUGAGGUGGCACAGGGAAGAAUAUUUCUGCUUAAGCACAAGUCAGGUUGGUGCCUUCCCAGUGGAUGCAAGUGUCAUGAGUGCAGGUAUCACCCAUAAAAGGAGCAUGUGGCUGAAGGGAUUAAAACCUCACACAGUGUGUUUUGGAGCAGCCAGCUUUUAGUGUGAAACAUCUAGUUGGUGCUCCAUGUCACAGCUCUCUGUCAUACUGCCCACUGAGCAGGACCUGUGAGCCCAGCAUGGCACAGUAGGGCUGCUCAGGGAGCUGUACGGUGGCCAAUGAGGCUGAACACCAGCUACGCUGCUUGUCUGCAUGCCUCGCAGUGAGAUGCAUGCUGUGUGUUUGCAAAGCUCCCUUUCCUUCUGCGGCUGCAGUUGUUAAGGAGCACUGAACUGCCCAGGCCCCUCCAUGCCCGCCAAGCAGAGGCUUGCUCAUCCCUGCAGCACAGAGCAGAGGGAAGCCCUGAGACCUGCAGUGCAGGGUGGGUGGGGAAAGCCAGGAUAGAAGGCAGGGAGUAUUUGAGCAUUAGCAAUGACCUACCAUGAAAACCAAUAUUUUUUUUUUUAAUUUUUAAUUAUUAUUAUUCUAACUGAUAAGAGAGUCUGAAAGAAGUUGUACCCAGGCAUGACAGUUCUGUUUGAUGAUAAAAUGGUAUCCCCUCUCCAGUUACUCAUGCAAAAAUGUCUGUUUUUAUUUAAGAAGUGUGCACUCCUGAGCCUCCUCCUCCUUUUCUUCCCCACUAGGUUACAUGACUGACACUUUUGCCAUGACAAAUCCAUGAGUGUUUUAAAAAUUUACCAUGAAAACCCUGGAGCUUUAAUUAUUGUGCAUUUACAUAAUUAGUGCAAAUACAUGCAAUUACCAUGUGUACCUACACAAUUACCAGCUACAAUGAUGUACUAACAAUCCUUAUUAAACUUUGGUGGGGGAGGGCCGUGUUGAUUGUAUGCGCGAGGAACAUCUGUAGCCCAGUCCUCCUUUUCUCUCCCUUGCUGGAAGCAACCAUGUGUUUAGGGAUAGGGGUUGGUGUGCUGGGAACAGUGACAUGCUGGAAGUAGGUCAGUCAGCUGUCCAAAUCGGACUUCUAGGAGGUGAAAACACAGGAUGGAUAUUCCCAGUAAUGUUUCUAGGACAUAGUUUCUGCAGUUAGUGCAAUGCCAUCAAUACUUGAUUACCCAUGGGUUAAUUAUCCAAAUUGCGAGGUAACUGUGCUGCAUCAGUUAUGUGUAUCUUUGCUCACAUCUGCAGUUCACCUGAGUGGAAUCCCCCAGUUUCUGUCACAGCUGUACUUCUCUUGUCUUGAACCUGCAAGAGUCUACAUAAAGUGAGUCCUCUUGAUGUGACUUUGUGCCUUGUGGUGGCUUCAGGUGUCUACCUGAAUAUCUACUACAAGCGUUUCCAAAUGACUUAUUUAUCUUGAUUAAUCUUCUGCAAAGAAAAAAUGUUCCAGCUCACAAACACCCCCCUCUUGCAAAACUUAUGCUCUCUGUUUUACAGAAAUGGUUCAGUGUAAAAAUUCAUAGGAUCAUUAAAGUUGGAGAAGAUUUCUAAGGUCAUCACGUCCAACCAUCACUUCUGUUGUUUCGUGGACAAUGGAAUAGAGCAAGUGAUGCAUUAAGGACUGUACCUUUUCCUAUUGUUUCCACUUUUGCCCUUAUUCUGGUCCUCAGCAGCAAGGAAUUGCCUGUGGUACAUCUGAGAGAGCCUUGCAACAAAACUCCUCGCUGCUCCCUCUCCUCUAGAUAGUGCCUCAUGUAGGAAGGAAAAUGGUCUGCCGCCCGUUUGUUUCUUUUGCCUCAUGAAACACAGCUCAGGCUUUUUGCGUGUAAGCCUAUGGAGCGUAUGGUUGUACAGAAGAGCCUGCUUUUUGGUUGUGUUUGUUCGUUGCUUAUUUUUUUAGCCUAUUCUCACAGUAGAAAGCCAUCAUGUCUGUUAAAACAGUGAAAAAUUGAGAGGCUAAUUGUUGCUGCUAAAUGCAAUAAAGUAGUACUUUGGGUUUUCAGGCAUGUUUUAUGACCAAUAUGGCAAUUACUGAAUAAAAUCCCACGUCCUGGAAUGUUUAUUUGUGUAAACAACUUAUGGUUAUUUAUUCAUAUUUUUUGAAUUUUUUUUUUUUUUUGAAAUUGUAUUAACCAUCCCUUGUGGUACCAAAUACAGUUGGUUAGGGAAAAAAAAAAUUGAUGCCACAUGCUAAAUGGAAGGGUCCAUUGAGAAUCUAGUCCUGAAUGUAUUUAAGGCUCUGUUUUAUUCGGCAUGAUUAGCUGUGUUACAAGCCACCAUUAUGUUCUGGCAAGCUCUGUCUGAUUUGAAGCAGUCCUCGCUCUCCUCACAGUAACAUUUUACUUGCUGGUCUAUUUCCAUGCUGGUGGGCUGGCUUGGGGCUACCUCUCACAUAAACUCAGACCAGGGUUCAACCAAGAUGCUCUCCAGCUGGUGCUGGUGGCAUUUGACAUCUUUUCUUCAUGAUUGGGUCAUGUAAGAGCUGAAGACAAGGGGAGAAACAGAAGUAGAUCUUGGACCUCAGCAUGCAUGCUCUACAAAUGGCUGCAUUUGUUGUUCUUUAAAUCUCAUGAUCUUUUGCAAUUAAAAUUCAUACCUUCCCUGAAGUUAAAGCUUGUAUAAAGUUUUGUAUUCUUUUUCACUUUUUCCUCCCGAAUCUGUAUGAUACAGCUUAAAAAAAAAAAAAAAAAAAAAAAAAAAAAAAGUUUAACAACAACAGAAGUGGUCACAGUCCCUACUUACAGAUCUUACCUUCAGUAUUCGGAGGAUCAUUUUUGUUAUGGGAAAGGCUUGGUCCAGUCGAAUGACUUCGGCCCAGACCAAAUUUUGGUUUGAAGUUUCUCAAAGUUGAGAUUUAUUUGGUUUUUGACCUUAGAUUGAAUCGGCUCUAACAGGGCACUGUCUUGAUCUGCUUCAGAAGGGCAGAUUAUAUGCACUGGAGUGAAGAGUGUUUAUGUCCCUGUAAAAGUACACUUUCAGCACUAUAUAAAUAGCACGUUUACAAUGCUGCAUUUCCUCAGCUCACAUGUGAAGUUCCUUCUCAGUAACUUACAAUCACAUGGUGUGCCUUCUCUUCCUAUUCUUCUCGCUUUUUUUUUUUUUUAAUUUUGUUUUGUUUUGUUUUAAGCUAUGUCCUUGACUCUUGAAGGCACACAUCCUGGAUUUUAAUGCUAUCUCACCACAUCACAUUUUUAAGGGCUUUAUUCCCUUUGCCAAACUAGCCAAGUCGCCUUGCUUAACCUAGCAGGGUAUGCCAGGGAGGGCUGGGCACGAUGCUGUAAGCCAGAGCCUGGUGCUACACAAAGGACACCCCACGCCAAGCGCAGCCCUGGGAACCAAGCUGCCCGGUGGUGGUCCCAGAGCCAUGGUAUGUGCAAGGCCAGGCGCUUGGUUAUGCCAGCUGCCUUUCAGCAGCACACCAUGGUGGGUUUGGGGCUUCUAGGCAUGUUAAAUAACUUGCAAAAUUUUGGCAUAAAAAAGGGCUUGGCUCAGAUGAGAUGCAUUCCCUUAGUGACCGAGAAAAGUGCUGAUGCUACGGCUCCUAAUGCUGGAGCUCCUGUACAGAGCUGUGUACCAAGUUCCAGUCAAGAAUGACCACGGUACUGAAGCAGUAUAUACUGAGCAACACCAAAGAGGGACCAAGUUGAAGAUGACCUGCAGAUGUUCUUAGGCUUCAAAAGGGAAGGGGAAAAAAACAGAGAGCCCAAACCUCCAGCCAUUUCCCUCUUAAUGUCAUCAUUGUUUUCAAUCUGUUUUUCUCAGUAAAAUUGUUUACUUUUUCCUCUAGGGCUCCAGUUGCAUAACCACAUACUUCCUUAGUGUCUUUGCAUGGCAAUUUCAUGUCUAAUUAAAGAAUUCACAUGAACCUUGCUUCCCCCCCCCCCCAUAAGAGAUUAAAAUGGCCAUAGACUUUAAUACACUACACAAGUUUGUCUGCACGUGGUGAAAUGUGUACACCCUGACUGAAGCCCCACUUGGCCAUUAGGUUGCCUCCCCCGAUGUAAUGUGGUUGUGUUCCGUGGCACUGCUCCUGUGGCUCCGUGUAAGCAAGCUAGGAGAAGACGCCAUCUCCUUCGGUUUGGGGCAGCACCAGCUGGACUGCUCCGUGUGAGAUAGGCCCGCGGGCUGCGGCAAGGAGGGAGCAGAGGGAUGUCGGACGUAUGGGCGUCAGGUGAGAGCUCAGAAGGGCCUCGUGUCUGGGCAGCACCAGCUGCCCCCUGGCCUUGACACGAUGCUACGGGUAGCUAAAAGGAAGGAGAGCGCUGGUGUCAGAAGGCAGUAGGGAAUCAGCGCUGCCCAUACGGUCGCCUGCGUGUAUCGCAGGAGAGGUGCGUCAUCCCACAGCCCAUGCUGCGCUCCCCUGGGUUACCCUGGGCUGGGCACCGCAGCAGCAGUGGGUGCACGGCCGGUCGGGCUGCUGCCCGAGGCCUCCCCGCGCUGCAGCGAGCUGCGAGCGCUCCCCCGGCACGACGCGUGCCCAGCCUGUGAGCUACUUCACCGGCUCCAUCCCGGUGUGUGGCCGUAGUAUGAGUUACGAUAGCAGCAGAAUUCAUUUCAACUACGGCUGAGGGCGGGGGGAGGUUCUGCUUUAACACGCGAUCCUAUGGGGGCGGUGUCUCCGCCCGCCGCGGGUUGUGUGGCACGGCCGAGGUUGGCA
This 9583-nucleotide long non-coding RNA is filed under the name Gallus gallus (chicken). Its description in RNAcentral is "lncRNA (ENSGALG00010023355.1)". The record is from RNAcentral. Lineage: Eukaryota; Metazoa; Chordata; Aves; Galliformes; Phasianidae.